RNAcentral lists this ribosomal RNA (503 nucleotides) under uncultured bacterium. RNAcentral's name for it is "partial 16S ribosomal RNA". It matches the Rfam family "Bacterial small subunit ribosomal RNA", at positions 30 to 523 of the family's 1533-position model. The record is from RNAcentral.
AUUGAACGCUGGCGGCAGGCUUAACACAUGCAAGUCGAGCGGGGUGAUGGUGCUUGCACUAUCACUUAGCGGCGGACGGGUGAGUAAUGCUUAGGAAUCUGCCUAUUAAUGGGGGACAACAUCUCGAAAGGGAUGCUAAUACCGCAUACGUCCUACGGGAGAAAGCAGGGGAUCACUUGUGACCUUGCGCUAAUAGAUGAGCCUAAGUCGGAUUAGCUAGUUGGUGGGGUAAAGGCCUACCAAGGCGACGAUCUGUAGCGGGUCUGAGAGGAUGAUCCGCCACACUGGGACUGAGACACGGCCCAGACUCCUACGGGAGGCAGCAGUGGGGAAUAUUGGACAAUGGGGGGAACCCUGAUCCAGCCAUGCCGCGUGUGUGAAGAAGGCCUUAUGGUUGUAAAGCACUUUAAGCGAGGAGGGGGCUCUUUUGGUUAAUACCCAAGAUGAGUGGACGUUACUCGCAGAAUAAGCACCGGCUAACUCUGUGCCAGCCGCCGCAGUAA